CCUACGGGAGGCAGCAGUGGGGAAUAUUGCACAAUGGGCGAAAGCCUGAUGCAGCCACGCCGCGUGAGCGAUGAAGGCCUUCUGGUCUGAAAGCUCUGUCCUCAAGGAAGAUAAUGACGGUACGUGAGGAGGAAGCCCCGUCUACCUACGUGCCAGCAGCCGCGGUAAUAGGUAGGGGGCUAGCGUUAUCCGGAAUUACUGGGCGUAAGGGGUGCGUAGGUGGUUUCUUAAGUCAGAGGUGAAAGGCUAGGGUCCAACCGUAGAAAGCCUUUGAAACUGGGGAACUUGAGUGUAUUAGAGGAGAGUGGAAUGCCUAGUGUAGCGGUGAAAUGCGUAGAUAUUAGGAGGAACACCAGUUGCGAAGGCGGCUCUCUGGACUGUAACUGACACUGAGGCACGAAAGCGUGGGGAGCAAACAGGAUUAGAUACCCCUGUAGUC
This 439-nucleotide ribosomal RNA is filed under the name uncultured bacterium. Its description in RNAcentral is "partial 16S ribosomal RNA". It matches the Rfam family "Bacterial small subunit ribosomal RNA", at positions 338 to 795 of the family's 1533-position model. The record is from RNAcentral.